This 410-nucleotide long non-coding RNA is filed under the name Salmo salar (Atlantic salmon). Its description in RNAcentral is "lncRNA (ENSSSAG00000090886.1)". Lineage: Eukaryota; Metazoa; Chordata; Actinopteri; Salmoniformes; Salmonidae. The record is from RNAcentral.
GCAGCUCUCAUCAUCUUACAACACAAGAUAAAUCCCUAGAGACAAUUCACAUCAAAGAAAUAACAAAGUAAUGAAGGAUAUUAUCUAAAGUGGAAGGGAAGAGAACAUUAAUUUCAGUGUGGGCAGCAAAAGAUCAGCCCCCAACUAAAAAAGGCACCAGCAAUCAAUCAGAGAAGCCAGAGAGAGAGGCUGAGCCCCAUCCUUCAGAGCAGCUAGAGAGAGAGGAUGACAGAGAGACAGUACAACAGACCCAGACAGAGACGGCAACAAGAAAAGUGUUGGUGAUGAUCUCGCACAGCUCAUGCUGUUUCCUCUCUCUACUGAGUUUACCUUGAUCUAUCUGCUCUGCUCAACCAGAGGUCUGGCAGGGAGAUCAAAGUUCACAAGCCCAUGAUUAAACUUAAUUUAUG